Molecule: ribosomal RNA, 496 nt
Filed under: uncultured bacterium
Lineage: Bacteria
Description: partial 16S ribosomal RNA
Rfam family: Bacterial small subunit ribosomal RNA
Source: RNAcentral
GAUGAACGCUGGCGGCGUGCCUAAUACAUGCAAGUCGAGCGAACAGACGAGGAUCUUGCUCCUCUGACGUUAGCGGCGGACGGGUGAGUAACACGUGUAUAACCUACCUUUAAGACUGGGAUAACUUCGGGAAACCGGAUCUAAUACCGGAUAAUAUAUUGAACCGCAUGGUUCAAUAGUUAAAGACGGUUUUGCUGUCACUUAUAGAUGUAUCCGCGCGGCAUUAGCUAGUUGGUAAGGUAACGGCUUACCAAGGCAACGAUGCGUAGCCGAACUGAGAGGGUGAUAGGCAAAACGGGAAGUGAGAAAGGGACAAAAGUCCAACGGGAGGAAGAAGUAGGAAAUCUUCAGAAAUGGGGGAAAGCUUGACGAAGAAACGCGGGGGGAGUGAUGAAGGUCUUCGGAUCGUAAAACUAUGUUAUUAGGGAAAAAAAAAGGAGUAAGAAACUAUGCAGGUAUGAAGGGAACAAAAGCAGAAAGCCACGGCUAACACGUG